GAGAAGGCUAGGUGGGCCUGGCGACGGUUGUCCAGGUUCAAGUGCGUAGGCUUAAGAGUUAGGUAAAUCCGGCUCUUUUUAAGGCUGAGACACGACGUCGAGCUGCUACGGCAGUGAAGUCAUUGAUGCCAUGCUUCCAGGAAAAGCCUCUAAGCUUCAGAUUGUAAGGAAUCGUACCCCAAACCGACACAGGUGGUCGGGUAGAGAAUACCAAGGCGCUUGAGAGAACUCGGGUGAAGGAACUAGGCAAAAUGGUACCGUAACUUCGGGAGAAGGUACGCUCUUGAUGGUGAAGUCCCUUGCGGAUGGAGCUGACGAGAGUCGCAGAUACCAGGUGGCUGCAACUGUUUAUUAAAAACACAGCACUGUGCAAAAUCGUAAGAUGACGUAUACGGUGUGACGCCUGCCCGGUGCCGGAAGGUUAAUUGAUGGGGUUAGACUUCGGUCGAAGCUCUUGAUCGAAGCCCCGGUAAACGGCGGCCGUAACUAUAACGGUCCUAAGGUAGCGAAAUUCCUUGUCGGGUAAGUUCCGACCUGCACGAAUGGCGUAAUGAUGGCCACGCUGUCUCCACCCGAGACUCAGUGAAAUUGAAAUCGCUGUGAAGAUGCAGUGUACCCGCGGCUAGACGGAAAGACCCCGUGAACCUUUACUACAGCUUGGCACUGAACAUUGACCCUACAUGUGUAGG
RNAcentral lists this ribosomal RNA (689 nucleotides) under Vibrio parahaemolyticus. RNAcentral's name for it is "partial 23S ribosomal RNA". It matches the Rfam family "Bacterial large subunit ribosomal RNA", at positions 1475 to 2142 of the family's 2925-position model. The record is from RNAcentral. Lineage: Bacteria; Pseudomonadati; Pseudomonadota; Gammaproteobacteria; Vibrionales; Vibrionaceae.